Molecule: transfer RNA, 56 nt
Filed under: Loxodonta africana (African savanna elephant)
Lineage: Eukaryota; Metazoa; Chordata; Mammalia; Proboscidea; Elephantidae
Rfam family: tRNA
About the family: Transfer RNA (tRNA) molecules are approximately 80 nucleotides in length. Their secondary structure includes four short double-helical elements and three loops (D, anti-codon, and T loops).
Source: Rfam by way of RNAcentral
UAGUUCAGUGGUAGAAUUCUUGCCUUCCAUGCAGGAGACUCAAGUUUGAUUCCUGG